RNAcentral lists this transfer RNA (72 nucleotides) under Camelus bactrianus (Bactrian camel). It matches the Rfam family "tRNA". Rfam says of the family: Transfer RNA (tRNA) molecules are approximately 80 nucleotides in length. The record is from Rfam by way of RNAcentral. RNAcentral also lists the same sequence under 1 other name. Lineage: Eukaryota; Metazoa; Chordata; Mammalia; Artiodactyla; Camelidae.
UGGGGUGUCGCUCAGGGGUGGAGUGCAUGCUUAGCAUGCACAAGGUCCUGGGUUCAAUCCCCAGUACCUCCA